This is a long non-coding RNA of Pogoniulus pusillus (Red-fronted tinkerbird), 515 nucleotides long. RefSeq lists it as uncharacterized. The transcript is spliced from 2 exons. The record is from RefSeq and is a predicted model, not a curated record. NCBI's taxonomy places the organism in Eukaryota, Metazoa, Chordata, Aves, Piciformes, Lybiidae.
GAAGAGAAGGAAGGCUGUGAAGAAAGGUUACCACAAAAAGCAGUAACACUCAUCUAAUUUUUUCUCCUAUCCCAUCUAAAAUGUGAAUACCAGAAAGUAAGGAUAGCUGGGAAUAGAGACAGGGAAGGCCAUGGCUGCAGGCAGGAGAGUGAAAACAAAGCACAGGAACAAACCAUCUCUUUUAAUUCACAAGACAAACAUGCAAGCAACGACAAGAACACACAUGUGUCUCAGUGAAGCUGGAGGCAGUGACAACAUUUCUGCUCAGUUUAUGUCUGGGUUGAAAAUGUAUAUGCACAAAUUGCUUUGGAACAUUAACCCAUAUUUUUUUUUACAGCUGUUAAGGUGAUUUUAAAUGAAUUUAAAAGGCCAAAAAUUGCUUUGUUCUGUUUUGUGACUGUGUACAAGAAUGAAGGGGAAAUCUCUCAAGGUCUGUACAUUUACUCUCAUUUCACAGCAAGCAUUACAUGAGGAAAUGUGUGUGAUCAGACACACUGGUUCCUCUUUGCUUUGUA